AUUGAACGCUGGCGGCAGGCCUAACACAUGCAAGUCGAGCGGAUGAAGGGAGCUUGCUCCUGGAUUCAGCGGCGGACGGGUGAGUAAUGCCUAGGAAUCUGCCUGGUAGUGGGGGAUAACGUCCGGAAACGGGCGCUAAUAACGCAUACGUCCUGAGGGAGAAAGUGGGGGAUCUUCGGACCUCACGCUAUCAGAUGAGCCUAGGUCGGAUUAGCUAGUUGGUGGGGUAAAGGCCUACCAAGGCGACGAUCCGUAACUGGUCUGAGAGGAUGAUCAGUCACACUGGAACUGAGACACGGUCCAGACUCCUACGGGAGGCAGCAGUGGGGAAUAUUGGACAAUGGGCGAAAGCCUGAUCCAGCCAUGCCGCGUGUGUGAAGAAGGUCUUCGGAUUGUAAAGCACUUUAAGUUGGGAGGAAGGGCAGUAAGUCAAUACCUUGCUGUUUUGACGUUACCAACAGAAUAAGCACCGGCUAACUUCGUG
This 484-nucleotide ribosomal RNA is filed under the name uncultured bacterium. RNAcentral's name for it is "partial 16S ribosomal RNA". It matches the Rfam family "Bacterial small subunit ribosomal RNA", at positions 30 to 507 of the family's 1533-position model. The record is from RNAcentral.